CCUACGGGUGACAGCAGUGGGGAAUAUUGGGCAAUGGGCGCAAGCCUGACCCAGCAACGCCGCGUGAAGGAAGAAGGCUUUCGGGUUGUAAACUUCUUUUCUGAGGGACGAAGAAAGUGACGGUACCUCAGGAAUAAGCCACGGCUAACUACGUGCCAGCAGCCGCUGGAAUACAUAGGUGGCAAGCGUUAGCCGGAUUUAUUGUGUUUAAAGGGCGUGUAGGCGGGAAAGCAAGUCAGAUGUGAAAACUCAGGGCUCAACCCUGAGCCUGCAUUUGAAACUGUUUUUCUUGAGUGCUGGAGAGGCAAUCGGAAGUCCGUGUGUAGCGGUGAAAUGCGUAGAUAUACGGAGGAACACCAGUGGCGAAGGCGGAUUGCUGGACAGUAACUGACGCUGAGGCGCGAAAGCGUGGGAAGCAAACAGGAUUAGAUACCCCAGUAGUC
This 443-nucleotide ribosomal RNA is filed under the name uncultured bacterium. Its description in RNAcentral is "partial 16S ribosomal RNA". It matches the Rfam family "Bacterial small subunit ribosomal RNA", at positions 338 to 795 of the family's 1533-position model. The record is from RNAcentral.